Molecule: long non-coding RNA, 614 nt
Organism: Leucoraja erinaceus (little skate)
Lineage: Eukaryota; Metazoa; Chordata; Chondrichthyes; Rajiformes; Rajidae
Exons: 3
Source: RefSeq, a predicted model, not a curated record
GUUUUUUUUUUAUUAAGAUAAGCAGCAACGUGUAUCAAUAUUUGUUUUACAUUUCCAGAGGCGGCCCCUGCCUUCCCGGUGUCGCCGAACCACACCGUAGACAUUCCCGCUCCGGGGAAUAUCUGCCAGCGUGAACAUGCAAAUAUUUAGUUGGUGACGUUUUGGAUGGAGAUGUUUCGUGGUGGAAGCCUAGCGACGGUCGUCAGUUCAUCAUCGUUGAAAACAUUAGCGACGCAGUGGCGCUGGUUUCCGACGGGAACGGUGACGGACGCACCACACGUCUCUGUCCUCCAGUUCCUGCCGACUUACCGCCGCUGGAGGUGUUUUAUUUUGGCGUGCGUGUGCUUUAUCAUCUUCCUUACGAUGCUGUGUACGACAGUGAUCGCAACUUCUACUGAUGUUUAAGAAGGAACUGCAGAUGCUGGAAAAAUCGAAGAACAUUAAAUUAAAAAGAGAAGACAGAGAAGAGAGAGAAAAGAGAAAGAAGAAAAGUGAGGAGAUAUAUCCCUCGACUCACCCCUGCACCUGCUCACCCAGCCCUGCAAUCAGUUUCCAAUUUGUGUUCAACCAUUGUGGUGCUCAACAAAUUCAAUAAAAUAUUUUUUGUAAUUGUU